This 252-nucleotide ribosomal RNA is filed under the name uncultured bacterium. Its description in RNAcentral is "partial 16S ribosomal RNA". It matches the Rfam family "Bacterial small subunit ribosomal RNA", at positions 524 to 776 of the family's 1533-position model. The record is from RNAcentral.
UACGUAGGGGGCAAGCGUUGUCCGGAUUCAUUGGGCGUAAAGAGCGUGUAGGCGGCCAGGUAGGUCGGUUGUGAAACUGGAGGCUCAACCUUCAGAGGUCGACCGAAACCAUCUGGCUAGAGUCCGGGAGAGGAGAGUGGAAUUCCUGGUGUAGCGGUGAAAUGCGCAGAUAUCAGGAAGAACACCCGUGGCGAAGGCGGCUCUCUGGGACGGUACUGACGCUGAGACGCGAAAGCGUGGGGAGCGAACAGG